GAUGAACGCUGACAGCAUGCUUAACACAUGCAAGUCGAAGGGGAAGUGGUGCUUGCUCCAUGGCAACCAUGGCGGACGGGUGAGUAACGCGUAAGGGUCUUACCUGCUGGACUGUGAUAACAGGUGGAAACUCCUGACAAGACCGGAUAAUGUCAUGGCUCUGCCUGGCUUUAUGAUGAAAGGAGACGCCUGCGGGGAGCCUUGCGUCCUAUUAUCGAGUUGGUGAGGUAAUGGCUCAACAAGGCGAAGAUGGGUAGCCGGCCUGAGAGGGUGGACGGCCACAAGGGGACUGAGAUACGGCCGUUACUCCUGCGGGGGACAGCAGUGGGGAAUAGUGGAAAAGGGGGGCAACCGUGAUAGAGCAAUUGUGUGUGGGAGAAGAAGGUUUGGGGAGUAAAAAGUGCUUGCAGGAGAGAAGGAGUGAGUGACGGUACCGGCAGAAGAAGCAACGGCUAAAUACGUG
This 463-nucleotide ribosomal RNA is filed under the name uncultured bacterium. RNAcentral describes it as "partial 16S ribosomal RNA". It matches the Rfam family "Bacterial small subunit ribosomal RNA", at positions 28 to 507 of the family's 1533-position model. The record is from RNAcentral.